Molecule: ribosomal RNA, 400 nt
Filed under: uncultured bacterium
Lineage: Bacteria
Description: bacterial SSU rRNA
Rfam family: Bacterial small subunit ribosomal RNA
Source: RNAcentral
UGAGGAAUCUUCCACAAUGGGCGAAAGCCUGAUGGAGCAACGCCGCGUGAAGGAUGAAGGCCCUCGGGUCGUAAACUUCUUUUAUGAGUGAAGAAUAUGACGGUAACUCAUGAAUAAGCACCGGCUAACUACGUGCCAGCAGCCGCGGUCAUACGUAGGGUGCAAGCAUUAUCCGGAGUGACUGGGCGUAAAGAGUUGCGUAGGCGGUUAGUAAAGUGAAUAGUGAAACCUGGUGGCUCAACCAUUCAGACUAUUAUUCAAACUCACUAACUCGAGAAUGGUAGAGGUAAUUGGAAUUUCUAGUGUAGGAGUGAAAUCCGUAGAUAUUAGAAGGAACACCAAUGGCGUAGGCAGAUUACUGGACCAUUUCUGACGCUAAGGCACGAAAGCGUGGGGAGCG